UUGAUUUUAUUUUUCAUCAAUUUUAGUUGUGCAAAAUAAUAAUUAAUAUUAUUUUGCAAUCUUAAUUGAUUUUCUUUUACAUUUUAGUUGAUUUAAUUUGCAAUUUAAUAAUUAAUAUUAAUAUUGCAAAUUAACUUCUAUUUUUUCCUUAUUUUCUUAAUUCAAUUUUAUUUUUAUAUUGCAAUUUAAUUCCUUACAUUACUUUGUAAUUUCUCUUGAUUUUGAUUUGAUUUUGUAUUUUUG
This 243-nucleotide long non-coding RNA is filed under the name Lathyrus oleraceus (garden pea). RNAcentral's name for it is "Pisum sativum (pea) long non-coding RNA (PSAT_LNC030906)". Lineage: Eukaryota; Viridiplantae; Streptophyta; Magnoliopsida; Fabales; Fabaceae. The record is from RNAcentral.